UGACUGAUCAUUCAUUUGGUUUUAUUCAUGUCAAGGCAAACUACACUCUAGCUGUAAUGGCAUUAUACAAUGCCAUUGUAUAAUAGCUUACAGAGGAUGUUAUGAAAAGAGUUCACUAUUCAUAUCCGGAACACGGCUGCAUUACGACACCAGCGAAAUUGAUGAGCAGCUCUACUAUCUCGGUUGUAGCUCGGCGGACGAGAGUAUUUCACUUCUUAUUUCUGCAUUUCUUCCGAAUCUAUCUCCCCACUCAGCUAUGCAGGUGUGUAAGGGGUGAAGUUCUCAAUGGGAGCCGAGACUAUCGCACAGUGCCAGUAGAGAGACACCGAUGAAGUGUCAGUCAUGCUGGUGGCUGGCAGCGACGGCAGAGCAGAGCGUGACAUGCCAGUGUUUUUUCCUGAGGGGAUGUGUGUUUUCUUGGUCUUGGAUCCACGGAGUGAUAGCAGAACGUUCCAUUUAUUCUAUGGUUCUUUCCUUCCCUUCUUAUUUCUGCCACCAUGGCAUGAUCCAGAGCAGGGCGGUGUAACUGGGUGAUUCAACAUCACUGUUAUAGUGAUAGGAAGAGACACCAAGGAUUUUGCAACAAGGGCAAGUAGGAAAACCGUAAAGGUUAUUUUCCCCUUCAUAAUCAACGCAGUUCUCUCUGGCAGUGUUCAAGCCUUAGCAGCAGUCAAUCUGAGUGUUUCUGACUUCUGGCUGAUUUGUUCUUCUUCUUCUGAUGAUGACAGUUGGCAGCUCUCUUCUGGUUUCUUCGGACAGCUCAGUGUCAGUGAGUAGAGAGGCAGUGCUGGUUUUAUAGUGACUUGUAUUUCCAUUCACUUACAAAAGUGAGACAUACAUUUCUCCUGUAGAUUAGUAGUAUGCUUCGUACGGGUAGGAUAACUUACUGUGUAUUUUCUAUCCAAUACAGCUUGGUUUUAUAGUGACUUGUAUUUCCAUUCACUUACAAAAGUGAGACACAAUUCUCCAGUAGAUUAGUAGUACGCUUCGUCCGGGUAGGAUAACUUACUGUCUACUAUUUUCUAUCCAAUACAGCUUGGUUUUUAUAGUGACUGACUUGACUUGCCAUUUCGGAUCCUAAUUUAUUCGGAUAACCUUCCUAAUAAGUGUUGUUGUAGAUAUUGAGAGAUGACUGUAUCCUACUAGAGCACUGUCGAGUCGGGAGUCUUGUCAGACCGAGACACUGAGAAUGCAGAGCACAGUUCGUUUUCUAACAGAACAAAGACUGAAUAUACCAAAGCCACUGCAUCACAGAGAAUUGUGCCAAACCAGCCCUGAUAACAGCGUUGAUCACCUCUCCCACGAACAUAACCUUUUAUAAGGACUUUUUGCAUUAUGCACGGAUCAAACAAUGAAGUGGAAUACUCGUCCGCCGAGCCAAAACGAGCUUCACCCGAGACAGUAGAGCUGCUCCGCUGCUUCACUGGUGUCAUAACGCAGCCUUGUUCCUGCCUCUGACUACCAUCGUCCUCACAGAGCCCAGCCUCUCUUCUCCGGACCGGCAACACUACAGCUGCUCCUCGGAGUGAAGCCGCUUUUCGAGCGUCAAAAUUGGAAUUAUUCUUUG
RNAcentral lists this long non-coding RNA (1567 nucleotides) under Salmo salar (Atlantic salmon). Its description in RNAcentral is "lncRNA (ENSSSAG00000122082.1)". The record is from RNAcentral. Lineage: Eukaryota; Metazoa; Chordata; Actinopteri; Salmoniformes; Salmonidae.